CAGCACUGUCAAAAAAGGCUAAGAAUGGUUUCACGCUAAACCAGCCCAGCCCUGCGGCUGAUUAGUGGAAACCACUGCAAGGUAAUUUGUUAUUCAUACUUAUCCAUCUGCCUCCUGCUGGGCCGAGAUAAAGAGAUACACAAUUUCCUUCUUGUUUGUAUCGUUAUUUCCGUCCAUCGAGGCAAUCAAGGCAAGUCUGGAUGGAAAGAAAAAAAAAAAAAAAAAGUAGUGUUUGCUGUUCUUUUAGAGGAGCAUUCCCGGGCAAACAGAUUUUAUAUGGGAAAAGUGAGGUGUGUCUGAACCCAUGCCAGCGUGUCCUGCACUUGCUUCUCACUAAUCAGAAAGCUUUGGACCAGCAGAAAAGCCCAGCAUCCCUGGGGGAGCAGUGUGUGCAGUACCUCUGGAGGCUCACAUCCCUGCUGUAACUUGUGCACAUCUGUCACUGCUAGAGCCAGUGACAGGACUGAUGCUUCAAAUGGACAUCAUUCAACUAAAAAUGUUGGUCCUGGGGACUCCAGCUGUAGUGAAAUCUGACAAAGAUGGUGUCUCUGGGGUAAAAGUACCAUUCUCUUUGAAUUCACUGGGACCCUAAAAAAUUCCUCACUCAACUCACAGCAAAAAGACAAAAAAACGGAACAAACCCCCAGAACAACAACAAAACAAAAAAAAAAAAAACUCAGCAGGUUUAGGCCCUUUGUAAGUCUGAUGAAUGAGUGAUUUGACAGUUUCUUGCAAAAUCCUGCAAAAUGUUGAGGGUUCCCCUUCACUCUUACAAAGAAAAGAAAGCCAAAGAUCCACCAAAGAGUUCAAAGUCUGCUGAGGGGUGGGAGCAGCCAAAUUAAUGAGGUCAUGUUCAGAGUGAGAUAACUGUCCAGAUCUCAUUCUGAAAAUGAGUUUCCUUUCUGGUAUGCAUGUGAAACCUUUCAGUUUCUCAACUGACUUUUUUCAGCCAUUCUAUGCUUGCCAGGCUGCUGCCUCAGACAAACAUGAUAAAUAAAAGAAGUUUGCUGAAUAGAUAGUUUUCUGAC
This 1028-nucleotide long non-coding RNA is filed under the name Cyanistes caeruleus (blue tit). Its description in RNAcentral is "lncRNA (ENSCCEG00000017931.1)". Lineage: Eukaryota; Metazoa; Chordata; Aves; Passeriformes; Paridae. The record is from RNAcentral.